GAUGAACGCUGGCGGCGUGCAUAAUACAUGCAAGUCGAGCGAAGCAGGGACGGGUGAGUAACACGUGGAUAACCUUCUAUAAGAAUGGGAUAACUUCGGGAAACCGUAGCUAAAACGGAUAAUUCGAGGUAGAUCCGCGCUGCAUUAGCUCGGUGGUAAGGUAAAUGCUGACCACGGCAACGAUGGAUAUCCGAACUGAGAGGGGGAUCGGCCACACUGGAACGGAGAGACGGUCCAGACUCCGACGGGAGGCAGCAGUAGGGAAUCGUCCGCAAUGGGCGAAAGCCUGACGGAGCAACGCCGCGUGAGUGAUGAAGGUCUUCGGAUCGUAAAACUCUGUUAUGAGGGAAGCGGUACCUAAUCAGAAAGCCACGGCUAACUACGUGCCAGCAGCCGCGGUAGUAC
This 405-nucleotide ribosomal RNA is filed under the name uncultured bacterium. RNAcentral's name for it is "partial 16S ribosomal RNA". It matches the Rfam family "Bacterial small subunit ribosomal RNA", at positions 28 to 526 of the family's 1533-position model. The record is from RNAcentral.